RNAcentral lists this long non-coding RNA (459 nucleotides) under Durio zibethinus. Its description in RNAcentral is "long non-coding RNA (DZIB_LNC000330)". The record is from RNAcentral. Lineage: Eukaryota; Viridiplantae; Streptophyta; Magnoliopsida; Malvales; Malvaceae.
CCCUUAGCAUGGAUUUUUUUGAGUGGAUACGUUUAAACGUUGAAGCUUUAUCUUGCUUCACCGUACUGGUCUUGACUUUGAACGAACUUUGCUUUAAAACUCACUGGUUAGCACAUUUUCUGAACAUUCGUUAAUUGAAAGCGACUUUGCUUACCUCCCAUGGUUCGUCCCUUAAGCUGUAAGGCAAAGAAGGAUCGACGGGCAUCUAUAUAUUGCUUUUUAAUUUGUGGACUUGAUAGAAACUUUAGGCAAAAUCAAGUGUUCUUGAGCUAAGCUACGUGCCAAAACCAGCCCCACAACGUGUACGUCAAGAGACAUUAAAUUUGAUCCUUUGAACUUUAAAGUUCGCUGAUGGGAAGGCAGGUGGAGCACAUCACAGCUAUUUCUAAGAAAAAUCUGGUCAUUGGUCUUUGGACUUAUUGGUUAUUAGUUGAACGUAUGCUUCGGUUUUGAUAGUUG